Molecule: non-coding RNA, 182 nt
Organism: Massilia sp. Leaf139
Lineage: Bacteria; Pseudomonadati; Pseudomonadota; Betaproteobacteria; Burkholderiales; Oxalobacteraceae
Rfam family: 6S / SsrS RNA
About the family: E. coli 6S RNA was the first non coding RNA to be sequenced, but its function was unknown until recently. It consists of 184 nucleotides that fold into an extended hairpin structure with a large single-stranded internal bulge. The 6S RNA specifically associates with RNA polymerase holoenzyme containing the sigma70 specificity factor.
Source: Rfam
GGCACCCUGCGGUGUUCGAGAUUGCCAUAUAUUCCUUGAACCAUUUACAUGCAUAGGUUGCGGGAUAGUGUUUGAUGGGCGUGAGCGUCGCUAGUUCGACGAACCCGAAAUUGGACUGACUGUGACCACCUUGAGCCAUCAGGUUCGGGAUGCCGGCAAAAAACGGCACAGGCGGGGCUAUA